RNAcentral lists this ribosomal RNA (502 nucleotides) under uncultured Mesoplasma sp. RNAcentral's name for it is "partial 16S ribosomal RNA". Lineage: Bacteria; Bacillati; Mycoplasmatota; Mollicutes; Entomoplasmatales; Entomoplasmataceae. The record is from RNAcentral.
CACAUAGUUAGCCGUGGCUUUCUGGUAAGGUACCGUCAAGACAGAAGCAUUUCCUAUUCUGUUUUUUCUUCCCUUACAACAGAGCUUUACAAUCCGAAGACCGUCAUCACUCACGCGGCAUUGCUUCAUCAGACUUUCGUCCAUUGUGAAAAAUUCCCUACUGCUGCCUCCCGUAGGAGUCUGGGCCGUAUCUCAGUCCCAAUGUGGCCGUUCAACCUCUCAGUUCGGCUAUGUAUCAUCGCCUAGGUAGGCUUUUAUCCUACCUACUAGCUAAUACACCGCGUCCCAAUCUUAUAACGAACCAAACGGUUCUUUGAACUUUCUUUCAUGCGAAAAAAAGUUAAUAUGCGGUAUUAUCUUUCGUUUCCAAAAGUUAUCCCCCAUUAUAAGGUAUGUUAGACACGUGUUACUCACCCGUUCGCCACUGAGGUGCAAGCACCUCCGUUCGACUUGCAUGUAUUAGGCAUGCCGCCAGCGUUAAUCCUGAGCCAGGACAAACUCU